UUUAGUUGUUAACUAAGAUUUUCGUGGGAUUGAAGCCCUCCAA
RNAcentral lists this transfer RNA (43 nucleotides) under Mammuthus sp. RNAcentral describes it as "partial tRNA-Asn". The record is from RNAcentral. Lineage: Eukaryota; Metazoa; Chordata; Mammalia; Proboscidea; Elephantidae.